UCCGUAGGGGUAGCCUGCGGAGGGAUCAUUACACAACAAAAAUAUGAGGGUGUGGUUUGCUGGCAACAGCGUCCGCCCCAAGUAUUUUUCACCCAUGUCUUUUGCGCACUUUUUGUUUCCUGGGCGAGUUCGCUCGCCACCAGGACCCAACCAUAAACCUUUUUUUAUGCAGUUGCAAUCAGCGUCAGUAUAAUAAUUCAAUUUAUUAAAACUUUCAACAACGGAUCUCUUGGUUCUGGCAUCGAUGAAGAACGCAGCGAAAUGCGAUACGUAGUGUGAAUUGCAGAAUUCAGUGAAUCAUCGAAUCUUUGAACGCACAUUGCGCCCUUUGGUAUUCCAAAGGGCAUGCCUGUUCGAGCGUCAUUUGUACCCUCAAGCUUUGCUUGGUGUUGGGCGUCUUUUUGUCUCUCCCCUUGUUGGGGGAGACUCGCCUUAAAACGAUUGGCAGCCGACCUACUGGUUUUCGGAGCGCAGCACAAAUUUGCGCCUUCCAAUCCACGGGGCGGCAUCCAGCAAGCCUUUGUUUUCUAUAACAAAUCCACAUUUUGACCUCGGAUCAGGUAGGGAUACCCGCUGAACUUAAGCAUAUCAAAGA
RNAcentral lists this ribosomal RNA (595 nucleotides) under Exserohilum rostratum. RNAcentral describes it as "eukaryotic LSU rRNA". The stretch from base 210 to 363 matches the Rfam family "5.8S ribosomal RNA". Lineage: Eukaryota; Fungi; Ascomycota; Dothideomycetes; Pleosporales; Pleosporaceae. The record is from RNAcentral.